Molecule: ribosomal RNA, 492 nt
Filed under: uncultured bacterium
Lineage: Bacteria
Description: partial 16S ribosomal RNA
Rfam family: Bacterial small subunit ribosomal RNA
Source: RNAcentral
AGUGAACGCUGGCGGUAGGCCUAACACAUGCAUGUCGAACGGCAGCACAGUAAGAGCUUGCUCUUACGAGUGGCGAGUGGCGGACGGGUGAGGAAUACAUCGGAAUCUACUUUUUCGUGGGGGAUAACGUAGGGAAACUUACGCUAAUACCGCAUACGACCUACGGGUGAAAGCAGGGGAUCUUCGGACCUUGCGCGAUUGAAUGAGCCGAUGUCGGAUUAGCUAGUUGGCGGGGUAAAGGCCCACCAAGGCGACGAUCCGUAGCUGGUCUGAGAGGAUGAUCAGCCACACUGGAACUGAGACACGGUCCAGACUCCUACGGGAGGCAGCAGUGGGGAAUAUUGGACAAUGGGCGCAAGCCUGAUCCAGCCAUACCGCGUGGGUGAAGAAGGCCCUCGGGUUGUAAAGCCCUUUUGUUGGGAAAGAAAAGCAGCAGGUUAAUACCCCGCUGUUCUGACGGUACCCAAAGAAUAAGCACCGGCUAACUUCGUG